CUGAGGUUAUAGCUCAGUGGUAGAGCAUCUGCCCCGCACGUGUAAGGCGCUAGGUUCGAUCCUCAGCACCACAUA
This 75-nucleotide transfer RNA is filed under the name Marmota monax (woodchuck). RNAcentral describes it as "tRNA.Ala". The record is from RNAcentral. Lineage: Eukaryota; Metazoa; Chordata; Mammalia; Rodentia; Sciuridae.